AAGUCGUAACAAGGUCUCCGUUGGUGAACCAGCGGAGGGAUCAUUAUCGAGUUUAUAACUCCCAAACCCUAUGUGAACUUACCACUUGUUGCUUCGGCGCGCGCUUCGGUGCCGCCGAGGACACUUAAACUCUUUGUUUUUAUAAGCAUUUCUGAGUGGCCGAAAGGCAAAAUACAAAUGAAUCAAAACUUUCAACAACGGAUCUCUUGGUUCUG
This 215-nucleotide unclassified non-coding RNA is filed under the name Helotiales sp. RNAcentral describes it as "partial contains small subunit ribosomal RNA, internal transcribed spacer 1, and 5.8S ribosomal RNA". The stretch from base 1 to 46 matches the Rfam family "Eukaryotic small subunit ribosomal RNA", at positions 1786 to 1831 of the family's 1831-position model. The record is from RNAcentral. Lineage: Eukaryota; Fungi; Ascomycota; Leotiomycetes; Helotiales.